RNAcentral lists this long non-coding RNA (308 nucleotides) under Androctonus crassicauda. Lineage: Eukaryota; Metazoa; Arthropoda; Arachnida; Scorpiones; Buthidae. The record is from RNAcentral.
CAAAAACAUUUAAAAUAUGAUCAUUAAUUACAAAAAAUAAAUGUUAAACAUUCAUAAAUGGGCAUUUCAAACCACUUAUGUAUCUAUAUGUUACGUAUGACUGAGUUUGUAGCAAAAACUCUGUUAUCUAUUGUGAAAUUGGGAAAAAUUAAAAUGGCGGUACAAGAAAUGGAAAUAGUGCACUCUCUGACUUUUAGUUUCACCAGACAUUAUAUAAAUAACAUUUAUUCCCAAAUUGUGCCAAAAGCAAUAAUCCAUCUGUAUAAAAGCUCAUAUACUUAUCUGUCAAUAAUAAUGAAGAAUAAAAA